CGGAGGGUGCAAGCGUUAUCCGGAUUUACUGGGUUUAAAGGGUGCGUAGGCGGGCCUUUAAGUCAGUGGUGAAAGCUCCGAGCUUAACUCGGAAACUGCCAUUGAUACUAUUGGUCUUGAAUUCGGUCGAGGUUGGCGGAAUGUGUCGUGUAGCGGUGAAAUGCUUAGAUAUGACACAGAACACCGAUUGCGAAGGCAGCUAGCUAGACCGACAUUGACGCUGAGGCACGAAAGCGUGGGGAUCAAACAGGAUUAGAAACCCUGGUAGUCCACGCCCUAAACUAUGAUUACUCGAUGUUGGCGAUACACUGCCAGCGUCUAAGCGAUAGCAUUAAGUAAUCCACCUGGGGAGUACGAUCGCAAGAUUG
RNAcentral lists this ribosomal RNA (368 nucleotides) under uncultured organism. RNAcentral describes it as "bacterial SSU rRNA". It matches the Rfam family "Bacterial small subunit ribosomal RNA", at positions 526 to 896 of the family's 1533-position model. The record is from RNAcentral.